This 391-nucleotide long non-coding RNA is filed under the name Nicotiana benthamiana. RNAcentral's name for it is "long non-coding RNA (NBEN_LNC018205)". The record is from RNAcentral. Lineage: Eukaryota; Viridiplantae; Streptophyta; Magnoliopsida; Solanales; Solanaceae.
UCAGAAUAGCAACCUGACAAGCAUAAACCAAUGUCUCAAUUUGUAGGCAGGACAGUGCGUUUGAGCUUUCCAAGUCAUCUUUGAUCUUCAGAUCGUAGGUUGGUUCAGGUGGUUGUACUGCAGAUAAGGAAGACGUCUCCACUAUAGGAUCAGGAUGUGGAGGUCCAAUAGAUAGCUUGGGUGAUAGGUGGGUUCAGGUGGUUGUACUGCAGAUAAGGAAGACGUCUCCACUAUAGGAUCAGGAUGUGGAGGUCCAAUAGAUAGCUUGGGAGGCCUCUGUGUUGAAUCAGGAAAAGAAAAUAAGAACUGAAAGGAUCAACCAUCAACUUGUAAUAUACUAACAAAAAGAUCUCAACUGCUUAAAAUCAAUGAUGAUAUCAUGCGAUACCAC